This 514-nucleotide ribosomal RNA is filed under the name Listeria monocytogenes. RNAcentral's name for it is "partial 23S ribosomal RNA". It matches the Rfam family "Bacterial large subunit ribosomal RNA", at positions 1 to 500 of the family's 2925-position model. The record is from RNAcentral. Lineage: Bacteria; Bacillati; Bacillota; Bacilli; Caryophanales; Listeriaceae.
AGUAAAUUGGUUAAGUUAGAAAGGGCGCACGGUGGAUGCCUUGGCACUAGGAGCCGAAGAAGGACGGGACUAACACCGAUAUGCUUUGGGGAGCUGUACGUAAGCGUUGAUCCAGAGAUUUCCGAAUGGGGGAACCCACUAUCUUUAGUCGGAUAGUAUCCUUACGUGAAUACAUAGCGUGAGGAAGGCAGACCCAGGGAACUGAAACAUCUAAGUACCUGGAGGAAGAGAAAGAAAAAUCGAUUUCCUGAGUAGCGGCGAGCGAAACGGAAAGAGCCCAAACCAAGAAGCUUGCUUCUUGGGGUUGUAGGACACUCUAUACGGAGUUACAAAAGAAAGUUAUAAAUGAAGCGGUCUGGAAAGGCCCGCCAAAGACGGUAACAGCCCGGUAGUUGAAAUGGCUUUCCCUCCAGAGUGGAUCCUGAGUACGGCGGAACACGUGAAAUUCCGUCGGAAUCCGGGAGGACCAUCUCCCAAGGCUAAAUACUCCCUAGUGACCGAUAGUGAACCAGUA